RNAcentral lists this long non-coding RNA (311 nucleotides) under Gossypium barbadense (sea-island cotton). RNAcentral's name for it is "long non-coding RNA (GBAR_LNC016597)". Lineage: Eukaryota; Viridiplantae; Streptophyta; Magnoliopsida; Malvales; Malvaceae. The record is from RNAcentral.
CGGAGGUUGCAGCCCUCAGAGUGCUGGAGAAUCCAAAAGACUCAAUAACUGGAAGGUAGGCCUUGAUGUUGUAAAGUGGAGUACCAGGCCUCUGCAUCUCCUCAAACACAUGUCCACGCUUCUGGUUAAGAACACUGUAAAUACCACCAAGUGCCUGCUCAGGGGCUUGAAUCUCAACCAAGUAAACAGGCUCCAGAAGCCUUGGUUUGGCCGUAAGCUGAGAAGCAUAGAAAACCCUCCUGGCAGUCGGAAUGAUUUGACCACCACCUCUGUGGAUAGCAUCAGCAUGGAGAACCACAUCACAGACUUCA